GUGCUUGCUUCAGCAGCACAUAUACGAAAAUUGGAACGAUACAGAGAAGGUUAGCAUGGCCCCUGAGCAAGGAUGACACACACACUUUUUUUUU
This 94-nucleotide small nuclear RNA is filed under the name Gopherus agassizii (Agassiz's desert tortoise). The record is from RNAcentral. Lineage: Eukaryota; Metazoa; Chordata; Testudines; Testudinidae.